ACCUCAAGUCAAGUAAGAGUACCCGCUGAACUUAAGCAUAUCAAUAAGCGGAGGAAAAGAAACUAACAAGGAUUUCCUUAGUAACGGCGAGUGAAGUGGGAAAAGCUCAAAUUUUAAAUCACCAAGGUUUCUUUUGGUGAAUUGUAAUUUGAAGAAAAGUCGUUUUGAUAUUCGGGUUUUAUCCAAGUCCUUUGGGAUAAGGUAUCAUAGAGGGUGAGAAUCCCGUUCAUGAUUAAACCUUGAUGUCACUUAAUUCACUUUCUAAGAGUCGAGUUGUUUGGGAUUGCAGCUCAAAAUGGGUGGUAAAUUUCACCUAAGGCUAAAUAUAUGCAAGAGACCGAUAGCGAACAAGUACCGUGAGGGAAAGAUGAAAAGAACUUUGAAAAGAGAGUUAAAUAGUACGUGAAAUUGUUGAAAGGGAAACGAUUGAAGUCAGUCAUGCUAGUAGGGAAUCAACUUGAUGGAUCGUAGGACUUAUCUUAUGAUCUUUCUUGUGCACUUUCUUGCUUGGCAGGUUAGCAUCAAUUUCGGGUAUCAUUAAAAAAUCGAGGGAAUGUAGCUUUCUUUCGGGAAAGUGUUAUAGACCUUGAUAAAAUGUGGUGACCGAGAUUGAGGAUUGCAGCGGAUACCUCUUAAGGCUAGUCACCUUGCUUCUGACGGUUACCCUGCUUUCGAGAGCUCGCUCACGAUUGUGGGAUUCAACAGUCUAGAUGUUAGAGUGAUCUUAAAUUCGCUAAGGAUGCUGACGUAAUGGCUUUAAACGACCCGUCUUGAAACACGGACCAAGGAGUCUAACAUGUGUGCGAGUGUUU
RNAcentral lists this ribosomal RNA (812 nucleotides) under Acaulospora kentinensis. RNAcentral describes it as "eukaryotic LSU rRNA". It matches the Rfam family "Eukaryotic large subunit ribosomal RNA", at positions 1 to 695 of the family's 3401-position model. The record is from RNAcentral. Lineage: Eukaryota; Fungi; Glomeromycota; Glomeromycetes; Diversisporales; Acaulosporaceae.